This is a non-coding RNA of Phascolarctos cinereus (koala), 1033 nucleotides long. The record is from RefSeq and is a predicted model, not a curated record. NCBI's taxonomy places the organism in Eukaryota, Metazoa, Chordata, Mammalia, Diprotodontia, Phascolarctidae.
CUGGGCAACGGUGAGCUCCAAUGGAAAGUGAAAAAAAUAUUAAGGACCCUCCCAAACAAAGUGAAAUGCCAACACAUUCUGCAAAAGCUUCAAUUCACAUUAUAUGUGUUUGUGAUAGCACAAUAAAGGGAACAAGGAAACCCACAGAAGAGUUGUGAAACACACUCCUCUUGAAUUCUUGUUUGUUUGUUUUUUAAACAACAGCAGAGAAAGAACAGGAGGAAAAGACAAGGUCUAGUCUGAGUCAACAGGAAUGAAGAUACCAACUUUUAGGUAGCACUUUAAUGGAAGGAUUCUCCACCUCUAAGUGCCCCAGGUUAUAAAUCUCAGGGGAAAGAGUCCUUGAUUUGGUCACUUCUGUGACCAAAAGCCGGAAACGUAAAUGAGAUGUGGAGCCCAAGGUGACUAAGAUUCUAUCUUUUCUAUCAAGACCAGAAAGAAAAACUUGAAGGGUUCAAAGAGAAAGGCGACGAAUGGCCCAAAUGCGCACUUCAGCAAAUUCUCGGUUGAGGCCCAGCAUGACGAGGUACAACGACAGAUCAGAGACAGCUCCUUGACUUUAAUCCUGAGCUCACUCUUGGCAGUUCUUCAGUGGAUGCUUCUUGAACUCUCUUGGAUAAGUUAUCUUGGGGCCCUCAGUCUCCUCCUUUGAAAAAUGAGAAGAUCAGACAAGAUGGUUUGUAAGGCUGCUUCUAGAUCUGACAUUCUCUCGUUCUAUAUCUACUAUGGAUAAGUUCCAAUUUUUCAGGGUGGGUGAUCUCCCACAGAAACAGAAUUUCCCAGAGAAGUAAGAGAAAUGAACAUCACGAGAAAAAAAAUCUAAGUAUAAAGCAAUUUGGGAAGGCUUUCUGUAUCAAUAUUCCCAUGAGAAAAGAGGAUGAUAUAGAGGACUUAGAGGAGAAAGGAGUGGAAAAAAGAAAAGAAAAGAAAUAAAAGAAGAAAGAUGAGAGAACCAAGUGAAGAGGACACUGAUUUUCAAACCAUCCCCAAGACUCAGGUUUUGCUGGAAGUAUCUAGUAUAAUAAACAUUUUA